Galeopterus variegatus (Sunda flying lemur) is the source of this 393-nucleotide long non-coding RNA. RefSeq lists it as uncharacterized. The transcript has 3 exons. The record is from RefSeq and is a predicted model, not a curated record. Lineage: Eukaryota; Metazoa; Chordata; Mammalia; Dermoptera; Cynocephalidae.
CUUCUCCUCCUGGGCUGGGAAUUGAAUUCUAACAACAAUCACAUGAGCUUGGAAGAUCUUUCCCCUGAUGUACCUUCAGUUGAGACCUCCGCCAGGGCCAUCUGACCCAGAGAAACAAUUCCAUCAUGAACUCUUUGGGACCAUGAAUUCUGUUGACACUCACAUCGUGGAAUUACGUUAUCCAAUGUGAAGCCUGAGCGCCAUGGGAUAGGUGUCAUCAAAGCACCAAAUGAGCAAGGUUUGGAACAGUUCAUCAGUGAAGUAUUCUUGAUCUAGACAGGGACUGGAAUCCUAAUAACAAUCAUGUGAAGUUGGAAGGAGAGCCUCCACACCUGAGCCUUCACUUGAGACCUCAGCUGUGGCCAUCAUCUACAUGUGGAUUUCUGACCCCAA